UACGGAGGAUCCAAGCGUUAUCCGGAUUUAUUGGGUUUAAAGGGUGCGUAGGUGGCUUUUUUAAGUCAGGGGUGAAAGACGGUAGCUUAACUAUCGCAGUGCCUUUGAUACUGAAGAGCUUGAAUAAACUAGAGGAGUGAAGUGAUGCAAGUAGCGGUGAAAUGCAUAGAUAUGUCACAGAACACCAAUUGCGAAGGCAGCUUACUAUGGUUUUAUUGACACUGAGGCACGAAAGCGUGGGGGAUCAAACAGG
Molecule: ribosomal RNA, 253 nt
Filed under: uncultured bacterium
Lineage: Bacteria
Description: partial 16S ribosomal RNA
Rfam family: Bacterial small subunit ribosomal RNA
Source: RNAcentral